GCAAACUUGGUCAUUUAGAGGAAGUAAAAGUCGUAACAAGGUUUCCGUAGGUGAACCUGCGGAAGGAUCAUCACUGAUUCGGGGGCGCGCCACGCGGCGGCAGGCAACUGCUUGCGCGUCGUGUGUGCGUGUACCCCAACCAAUCUUGUGUGAACCGUAACGAGCACUACUGCGUGUGGUGGGGAAGAUUGGUUGGUGGGGGGGGGGAACGUGUGUACGUUCCGUUUGUGGGGACGACGACGACGACACCCACCGCCAACCACACACCAUCAUGCGAGCAUAUUAUCUCCAUACAAUCUUGUCUAACAACAUUACACACACUAAAUUACACAACUUUUAACAAUGGAUCUCUUGGCUCUCGCAUCGAUGAAGAACGCAGC
RNAcentral lists this unclassified non-coding RNA (380 nucleotides) under uncultured fungus. Its description in RNAcentral is "partial contains small subunit ribosomal RNA, internal transcribed spacer 1, and 5.8S ribosomal RNA". The stretch from base 1 to 73 matches the Rfam family "Eukaryotic small subunit ribosomal RNA", at positions 1759 to 1831 of the family's 1831-position model. Lineage: Eukaryota; Fungi. The record is from RNAcentral.